AUAGAGCAAGAGUUCACCUUCUCCAACGUCUCUUCAAUGGCUUCAUCACUCAAUUUCUCACUCCUGCAUUUUUUGAGAAUUUUGUUGCAGAAUGUGGCAAGAAGUUCAGCGCUUGAGCUACCAGCAACACCCUUGUUGCAGAAAAGUUCGAAAGCCUCUUUAAGUGCCU
Molecule: long non-coding RNA, 169 nt
Organism: Solanum verrucosum
Lineage: Eukaryota; Viridiplantae; Streptophyta; Magnoliopsida; Solanales; Solanaceae
Exons: 2
Source: RefSeq, a predicted model, not a curated record